RNAcentral lists this transfer RNA (76 nucleotides) under Elusimicrobia bacterium HGW-Elusimicrobia-2. RNAcentral's name for it is "tRNA-Ala". It matches the Rfam family "tRNA". From Rfam's summary of the family: Transfer RNA (tRNA) molecules are approximately 80 nucleotides in length. Their secondary structure includes four short double-helical elements and three loops (D, anti-codon, and T loops). Further hydrogen bonds mediate the characteristic L-shaped molecular structure. tRNAs have two regions of fundamental functional importance: the anti-codon, which is responsible for specific mRNA codon recognition, and the 3' end, to which the tRNAs corresponding amino acid is attached (by aminoacyl-tRNA synthetases). tRNAs cope with the degeneracy of the genetic code in two manners: having more than one tRNA (with a specific anti-codon) for a particular amino acid; and 'wobble' base-pairing, i.e. permitting non-standard base-pairing at the 3rd anti-codon position. RNAcentral also lists the same sequence under 2 other names. The record is from RNAcentral. Lineage: Bacteria; Pseudomonadati; Elusimicrobiota.
GGGGGUGUAGCUCAGCUGGGAGAGUGCUUGCAUGGCAUGCAAGAGGUCAGGGGUUCGAUCCCCCUCACCUCCACCA